CCCCUCAGCCCACCUCAGGCGGCCGCCAUUAGGUUCCCGCCCCUUCCCGCCUCCCCGCGCUGCGCGCGCAGCGGGCCCUGCGCUCUGACGGGAGGGCGGGGGGAGGGGAGGCGCUGAGGGGGCGCCCGCACACGCACUCAGCCCCGGCCUCCCUCAUUCUCUUUUUUUGGGGGGUCCUCCCGUUUUUUGGGGGUGUCAGAAGGACUCUGGAGAAGGAGGAGAAGAAGGGGGGUGUCUCUAGGUGCUGCUGGACCGGCCGCGGGGCCCGGCAGACAACGCUAUGGCUGCUACAGUGAACUUGGAGCUCGAUCCUAUUUUUCUGAAAGCCCUGGGCUUCUUGCACUCGAAGAGUAAGGAUUCUGCUGAAAAGCUGAAAGCGCUUCUUGAUGAGUCUUUGGCCAGAGGAACAGACUCAAGCUAUCGUCCAUCUCAGAAGGAAGUAGAACAACCAAAAGUAUCUGUUAGCAAACCUAUUUCCAGUAAGCAAGAGCCUAAAGCUGCUUCUAGUUUGCCUUCUGGCAACAACAAUGGCAAGCCCACUGCAUCAGAAAAGGUGAAGAAAGAAACAGAAAAGAAAUCUUCUGAUAAAGUAAAAGCAGAUACUGUGGAAGGAGCUGAUAUGCCAAAGAAGCCCAGGCUUGAGAAGCAAGAGGCUCGUUCCUCUCCUAUUACAGUUCAGACAAGUAAAGAUUUAUCCAUGCCUGACUUAUCUAGCUUUGAGGAAACCAGUGCUGAUGAUUUUGCUAUGGAAAUGGGUUUGGCCUGUGUUGUUUGCAGGCAAAUGACAGUUAUUUCUGGGAAUCAGCUAGUGGAGUGUCAGGAGUGCCAUAAUCUCUACCACCAGGAUUGCCAUAAACCUCAGGUGACAGACAAGGAAGUGAAUGAUCCUCGACUUGUGUGGUACUGUGCCCGCUGUACCAGACAGAUGAAGAGAAUGGCUCAGAAGACACAAAAACCACCUCAAAAACCCGCUCCAGCAGUGGUUUCAGUUGCACCAGCUGUGAAAGAUCCAUUGGUCAAGAAGCCAGAAAUUAAGUUGAAACUUGAGACCCCAUCAACUUUUCUGGCAUUCAAGAGAACAGAAGUCAAGACCUCAGCAGCAGUUUCGGGGAACACAGCCAGUACAAGUGUUUCCUCUUCAGCAACCAGUGGCCUUACAGGAUGGGCUGCCUUUGCAGCCAAAACCUCCUCUGCCAAUCCAUCAACUACCAAACUGGGAUCAACAGCACAGAGUGCCAGCGGGAAACCUGCAGCUUCUUCAAAUAACCAGAAACCUGUGGGUUUGUCAGGGUUGGCAACUUCCAAAACGGGACUCGGGUCAAAAAUAGCUUCAGGUAACAACAGCACAAGCCCUGUACAGCUGAAACCUCCUCCGCCUUUGACGCUCGGGAAAACCACUCUGAGCCGUUCGGUAAGCAGCGACAACGUCAGCAAAGUAGGGCUCCCUAGUCCCAGCAGUACCACACCGAGCACCAGCAUCCAGGUGAGCGGUGGGAAUGGCAACAGCGGGACUGCGGGUAACAGUGGGGGCAGUGCAAGCAAAACCACAGCAGAUACCGGCAAUCAGUCAGCCUCCCUGAAAGGCCCGACUUCUCAGGAAUCGCAGCUCAAUGCCAUGAAGAGGCUACAGAUGGUCAAGAAGAAGGCUGCUCAAAAGAAACUCAAGAAGUAGUGCCACUGCUGGCUGACUGUUGGUUGUGUUCUGUGAAGCAGCAGCAUUUAUGUUUCUAUUAGAGAAAAUACCACGGUUACUGGACUGAACCAGUAAUUAAAUCAGGGAAGCCCAAAACCGAUGUACAGGAGGCCAAGCUUAGGAGCAGAGGAAGCAGACGCUGCAGCACUGUUGCAAGAGAGGAGCUGGGAUGCAUCCAGGCACUGGCAGUGUUAGAGGUGACGUGUAUCCUGCAAGCAUCUUGGGGCCUCUGCCUACCUGUUAAUAAUGCUGAGAGCUUGAAAAAGGUGUGGGAGGGGAGAAAAAAAAAAAAGGAUCUUUAAGUUCAGUAUGGUAAAUUUCCACUUCCAGAGCCUUGAAUGGGAUCAGCUUGGUCUCUCUUCCCUUUGCAGAGUGUAAGCCCCUACCACCCCCAGUGCAGUCUUGCACUUAGCCUGGCUGCUGUUACAGGGAAGGUUUGUACACACUGUGGCUGCUUCUCAGGAGCUUCUUGCUGAGACAUUUGUGUCAUUUUCGUGACUAGACCCUAGAUCUCUCACCCACAAGCUUCCUUUCAGCUCUUUCAUUUAUCCUGCUGGAUUUUGUUACAUGUCCUUGAACCUGUUCCAGCCACAUGCAGGCAACACAUAAUGCUUUAUAUGCUGCUAUUAAGACACGGGUACUUGAGAAAGUGUUGUAUCUUCCAGCUCUCCACUCACACCCCUGAACUGUUCACAGCUGUGCUCCCUCUGUUUGUCCCAGAUGAUCCACAUUUUGUUCAGCUCUCGAGAACUGGAAAAGGAUCUUCAGUCUUGCUGACUGUGACCAGCCUGCAGCAAUCCCCUCUCGGUUCCCUCUGUUGGGAGGAGCAUCUCUAAUUAUGAAAGCACCUCAGAGUUUAAGAGGUACACUGUAUGGGGUGAACAAAAGCAGGGAAAAAAAAGAUCUUUGUUUUCAAACUGUGGUAGCUCGUGCCAUUUAAAAUACCUCUGAGACCUGAUUUGAGUGCAUCCUGAUGAUUUUACUUCUAAAACCCAGCUUGUGACGGAACUCUGGCUGGAUGUGGCAGAAAAUAAUGGGCACAACAACCACAGAAGUAGCUACAAAAGAACAGAAGUAACGUGAUAUUUGCAAACUUGAAGUGUAUUUUGGAUCUCACUGCUGUAAAAGUACUGAGCAAGUUCUAACAUAUUAAUAGAUAAGCUAAGAUGUAUACCAAAUAUGCAGAAUAUUGUUUGAGGCAACUGUCUGUUUUCUCUGCUGUGCUAGUUUUGCAGUGACACUUUUUAUAGUUCACAACAGAAGAGGCAGACUUUGGGUAGCAUUUAAAGCUCUUUGCUCCUGGAAAAAGCCUCGUUGAUGUUGUUUUCGUUGUUUGUUUUAACAAAACAAAAAGACAACGUAUCUUUACAAAAAUAAAUUUUUAUUAUUACAAUAAUUUAAAAGAAGAUUUUUCACCAUUUAUGAACAGUACUGUAAGAGGAAUUAUCAAUAAUAGAUCUAUAAGCACAAGCAUUGUUACGGCUGUGUUUUCUUUCACAGGUCUAGUUCAUUUCACAUAUCUGUAUUUUUACAAUCUCUCUUAAAAUGACAGUAGAAAUGUAUUUUACUAUUCGAAGGUGCUAAUUACUCAAUCACAAAGUCAGAAGGAAUAAUUCUUCAAUCUGUGUUUGUGCUGAAAAUGUGACUCCUUAGUUAAAGUGCACAAGCACCCUCCAAGCAGAGGGAAGGCAAUGAAGCGCACAGUUGCCAAAGACUCUGAGCUGUGUUCAUUGGCUUGUAUGUUUGCUGGGUUCCAGGCUGUCAAUGUCAACACUUAAAAUAAAGUGAAUUGCCCUUGAUUUGACAAACA
Molecule: RNA transcript, 3503 nt
Organism: Anas platyrhynchos (mallard)
Lineage: Eukaryota; Metazoa; Chordata; Aves; Anseriformes; Anatidae
Gene: INTS12
Gene name: integrator complex subunit 12
Source: RefSeq, a predicted model, not a curated record